Long non-coding RNA from Gasterosteus aculeatus (three-spined stickleback), 1188 nucleotides. The record is from Ensembl. NCBI's taxonomy places the organism in Eukaryota, Metazoa, Chordata, Actinopteri, Perciformes, Gasterosteidae.
UGAACUCUGCAGGAGAAACGGCCCUCGAUGUUGCGCGCAGGCUGCAGCGCGCGCAGUGUGUCGAGCUGUUGGAGUUGGCCCAUAGUGGGAAGUUUAACUCCCAGAUUCACGUGGAGUUCAUGUGGGAGACGCAGUCUCAGGAGUUUUACGACAGCGAGGAUGACCUCGAUGAGCGGGUGAGCCCGUUGCCCAAAAACCGCUCUCCUCCAUCCUCAAAUGGAGGGGGGUGGAACUUCCUUUUCCCGCUAUAGCGUGCUUAAUGGUGCCAGUGGUACUGCUGGGAGUAGGCCUUGUCAAACGUACGAGAAUCUAGACUUUCUAUACAAAAAUCCUCCCGCCAACAGCGCUCCCUCUGGGACGUCAUUGGCUCCACCACUGCCAGCUAAAUCCAUUCAGAGAGGUUGCUCGGACCCCCAGAUUUCAAUCACAACACAGGAAGGCAAACCCCUGCCACGAAGUUGCUCCAUCCCGGCCUCCCACUCCUCCAGUCCUCCGACGCAGGCGAGACACGGGCCCCCUUCGCCCAACACAGAAAACCAACGGUUGAGACCACCCAGGUCCCCGCUCGGCCAGGCGACUCUGCCCAAGGCACAGAGGCAGACUUGGGAUGGCCAAGCUGGUGUCCCGCCAACGUCCACUCAGAGCUGCAUAGGGCCGGUCAGUUCAGGGAAGACGACGUCAUAUCGUCGGAGCAGCAGCGGCGCAGGCGCACAGGGGAAAUGUGGUGUGUUGUCUCCGAGUUGUAUGAGCAGCCAGGAGGAGCUGUACUGCAGCCUGGUGGGGAACAGUCCAGGCCUCACCCCAGCUGCUGCUGUCCCAGCACCCCCGUCCUCACCUGCAGUGACCUGUAUCUCACGACCCCGCAGGAAUGCUAUGGCCUCUGGCAGCAGGCCACAUCUGAAGCGUGUCAAGGCUUUGGUGGACUGCAGAGCAGUAAGUUCUGAGCAGCUUGCCUUUUUCAAAGAUGAGAUCAUUGUGGUCACAACCACUACUGACGCCUUCUGGUGGAGCGGUCACAUAGAGGGGGGACCCAUCCAGGUGUGGGACGUUUCCUGUCAACUAUGUCCACAAACUAACAGACUGAAGCGACAGGGAAAUAAGACGCUACUGUUCAUACACAACAGAGGAACUGAACCAGCAUGGGAUGCUUACUGCAAGUCACGCCGUAGACUUACAGGACGGCGUUAA